This 72-nucleotide transfer RNA is filed under the name Myotis lucifugus (little brown bat). It matches the Rfam family "tRNA". From Rfam's summary of the family: Transfer RNA (tRNA) molecules are approximately 80 nucleotides in length. The record is from Rfam by way of RNAcentral. Lineage: Eukaryota; Metazoa; Chordata; Mammalia; Chiroptera; Vespertilionidae.
GGCAGUAAAGUUGAGGUUAAGAACAUAGUGUUUGCAAUCGUACAGACCUGGGUUCAAAUCCUAGUUUUGCCA